CAGGGAGACAACAAAAUGUUAAAUAUUAAUUUUGUCACCUUAGGUCGAUCGGUAUCUCACAUCCUUGAUUUAUCAAGGAUUUUAUUUCCUAAGUUUUUUCUAGGUCACACCCAUUACUUUUCCUGGGCCAUUAGCUCAGGUGGUUAGAGCGCACCCCUGAUAAGGGUGAGGUCCCUGGUUCAAGUCCAGGAUGGCCCAUAUCUCUAUGUUGGGGGUAUAGCUCAGUUGGUAGAGCGCCUGCUUUGCAAGCAGGAUGUCAGCGGUUCGAGUCCGCUUACCUCCACUGAUUACCACCUCUUCCAUAAUCUUAGAAAGGAAAUGUUUUGAGCUGUAAUCAAAUUCUGAAAGAAUCUAGCCUCUUAAUUAUCUUUAUUAAGAUGCUGGACUCAUUGAAUUAAUUUCAUUGUUUUCAGAGAACCUUGACAACUGCAUAGAUUAUUUUUAAAGACAAUAAGCAUCUUUUAUGAUGCAGAUUUAUUAUUUGUGCGAAUGCAUUAAUAACAAUUCUAUUAAGCUGAUGCUUCAAUUUUUGAAGUUAUU
Molecule: transfer RNA, 540 nt
Filed under: uncultured cyanobacterium
Lineage: Bacteria; Bacillati; Cyanobacteriota
Description: partial 16S-23S ribosomal RNA intergenic spacer
Rfam family: tRNA (bases 211-283)
Source: RNAcentral